CUGAUUCAGAAACGUUUGGGUUUGGAGCUGGACCAUCGCCCAUCCCCCACUAACCUUAUUUGUUUUCCAGAGACUGUUUCCAGCCAGAGACAGAGAACCAAGAGAAUGCCAUAGCAAAGACCAACAGAGAGCAG
This 134-nucleotide long non-coding RNA is filed under the name Cricetulus griseus (Chinese hamster). Its description in RNAcentral is "lncRNA (ENSCGRG00000026044.1)". Lineage: Eukaryota; Metazoa; Chordata; Mammalia; Rodentia; Cricetidae. The record is from RNAcentral.